CGGCACCGGGCUGGCAGGCGGGCGGCCAGCUGGGAGAAGCGGAGGCUCCAGGUGGGGCACGCAGCUGGCGGGGACCUGGGGACGGGGGCGGGGGGGGGGUGGCUUCUGGGGGGGCGGAGGUUUGGGGUCCCCAUGGGCAGAAGCACAACUGGGCUGGAGCAGGUGGCCUCGAGGGACAUGGUGGCCCCACAGCGCCCACCGGGGGCAUCCCCUGGCAGAGCUGCCUUGGAGGUGGUCCCAGCCCUUAUUUGACAGACUAGGAAAACUGAGCCUUAGGGAGCGCCCUGCAAGACAGAGCUGGCGAGGCCCGGAGCCAGGGGCAGACCCCCGGGGCAGGAGGGGCGGGCCGCGCCCCGUCUUACGUGCGUUCACGUGUGUGUGUUCUGUGCGUGCUUGAAAAUAAGGCUUUCCGUUUGCAGGGUACACAUUUUGAAAAGAAUGUAUUAAUUAGGUCAACCUUUACAACCAUGUCAGUCACAUACUGCAGGUUGGAUCUGUCUGUCUCUCGAGUUUACGAAAACCGGGCGUGAAGUGCUGAAUUUUGCCAUCGGGGUGGGGGCAGGGAGGGCAAUCCCUCCUUUUGUCUGUAAGGGUCUUUGGUUUAUACAUUUCUAGGACACGUUCUUCACAACUUGAAGCUUCUUGGCCGCUCUGCCUCUUACCAGCCUAGAGCUCCCGGUGCCUGUUCUGUGCCAUUUGUCCUGAGUCUGCUGUGCCUGACACGUGCAGUGGCCACCCCCCAUCCCCAGGUCCCGGCCCCGCGCUCCCGCCCUGUAUGUUUUCGGUCACCAUUUAUUUCAUCCGCCUGGCCUUGGUUUCAAGCCCACCUCGGAGCGUGUGCCUUUUCCAAAGGAAUUUAUCCCGCUUACAAGUUUUGCAAUAAUUUAUUUGCUCUGGUUUUCUUUGGUUGCUGAUAGGAUCCUUGCUGAUUUAAUGCUUCCUCACGACUUCC
RNAcentral lists this long non-coding RNA (952 nucleotides) under Lynx pardinus (Iberian lynx). The record is from RNAcentral. Lineage: Eukaryota; Metazoa; Chordata; Mammalia; Carnivora; Felidae.